This 31-nucleotide non-coding RNA is filed under the name Homo sapiens (human). Lineage: Eukaryota; Metazoa; Chordata; Mammalia; Primates; Hominidae. The record is from RNAcentral.
CGAACUGGACCUACUUGCUUGACCAGAGCCC